CAGAAGAUUAGCAUGGCCCUUGCAGAAGUAUGACACUCAAAUUUGUGAAGUGUUCUCUAUGGAA
This is a small nuclear RNA of Cavia aperea (Brazilian guinea pig), 64 nucleotides long. The record is from Ensembl. Lineage: Eukaryota; Metazoa; Chordata; Mammalia; Rodentia; Caviidae.